UACGUAGGGUGCAAGCGUUGUCCGGAAUUAUUGGGCGUAAAGAGCUCGUAGGCGGUCUGUCGCGUCUGCUGUGAAAACUCAGGGCUUAACCCUGAGCUUGCAGUGGGUACGGGCAGACUAGAGUGCGGUAGGGGAGACUGGAAUUCCUGGUGCAGCGGUGAAAUGCGCAGAUAUCAGGAGGAACACCGGUGGCGAAGGCGGGUCUCUGGGCCGUAACUGACGCUGAGACGCGAAAGCUAGGGGAGCAAACGGG
Molecule: ribosomal RNA, 253 nt
Filed under: uncultured bacterium
Lineage: Bacteria
Description: partial 16S ribosomal RNA
Rfam family: Bacterial small subunit ribosomal RNA
Source: RNAcentral